AGUCACUGACAUUAGAUACCCGGGUAGUCCGAGGGUGUAAACGCCGCAGACUUGGUGUUGGAAGCCCGUUUGGGGGCAUUCAGUGCCGGAGAGAAGUUGUUAAGUCUGCUACGUUGGGAGUACGUCCGCAAGGAUGAAACUUAAAGGAAUUGGCGGGGGAGCACCGCAACGGGAGGAGCGUGCGGUUUAAUUGGAUUCAACACCGUAAACUCACCAGGGAAGACUGUUACAUGAAGGCCGAGAUGAAGACUCUGCUAGAUUUUCAG
RNAcentral lists this ribosomal RNA (266 nucleotides) under uncultured archaeon. RNAcentral's name for it is "partial 16S ribosomal RNA". It matches the Rfam family "Archaeal small subunit ribosomal RNA", at positions 719 to 982 of the family's 1478-position model. The record is from RNAcentral.